ACUGCCUGGUCGCCAUUAGAGACACCUCAAGCCCGGCGCCUCCUUCCCCCUUUUUUUCCCCCCUCGCGCCCUCUCCACGCCUCGCCGGUCGGGCCAGCGCUUGCUCUCUCGGCCCACCUUGGUGGCCCCGGCCAGGCACGCUGGCCACGCGAGCGCGCACCCUCCCACAAGACCCACAGACACAGCGAGUCGCCGCUCUUACGCCCCCGCGGUGCCGAGGUGUGGGUGUGCGUGUGUCUUCCUUCCUUUCUCCUCCUCCUCCUCCCCCCCUCCCCGCCCGGUUCGCCGGGAACCCAAACACGGAGGCGCUCGCCCCCUGAGGAAACACCGAGCUGGGAACCAAAGGCUGCUUGGGGACCGGCGCCGGAGACCGUGGGGAGGGAGGGAGGGAGGGAACCGAGGGUGUCUGGGGUGGAGGUGGCGUGGCUGGGGAAAGCCGCCCUUUCCCCCCUCCUCCUCCUCCUCCUCCCUCUCCCGCUGCCCUCUCCGAGCAUCUUGUGCCAACAGGAACGGCUGGCUGGAGGUUGCUGCCGCUCCCGCUCGGCUUUUGCCCGCCGGAAUCCUCCAGCGGUGGCGGCGGCGCGGCUGAUGUGUUGUAGAUCUUGGAUGCGCUUUCCACACUUCAGAGUAGGGAUACAGGCCUUCUAGGAGGAGAGCAGGAAACUAUCACGUGGACCCUCUACUCUUUGGAUGGGUGAACUGACACAGGUGGGUUUCUCUCUCUCUCUCUCUCUCUCUCUGUGUGUGUGUGUGUGUGUGUGUGUCUCUCUGUGUGUGUGUACCUUACACUCCAUCCUUGACACCAUUCCUCCCCCCCACGUGCCACACUGUAUCUGCAAGGUGAUGCUGUCUUCUUCCACAUUCAAAGACUCAUUAAUAUUUGCAGAGGAAACCAGUCCUGCACUGCAGGGUAGGAGGCACAUGGUGUGAGUGCGUCUGGUGUGUCAUUUGAUCAUGUGUCCCCUCUAGCUUGGUUUCUAAGGCUGUGAUAUGGUAAAUAGAAAAUGAUAUUUAAUUACUACUGACAUUGCACCAAAUAGUAUUUAAUGAACAUUCUGUUCAAAAUCAGUCUCCCCGAAGUUGCAUAAAGGCAUGCUUACUUACAGCUCCAAGCAUUAAUGUUAAAUCACAUGACCAAAGAAAAUGAUUAGAUGAUAUUAAACAUAGGCAGGGAACAUAUCUUAGCAAACAGAUGUUGAGGAUGCCUCAAUAUCUGUUGAAAUUUGAUUCCAUUCCACCCCUGCCCUUUCUUCCAAGCUUUCAUACCAGCAAUAGACUCAUAGGUAAGCACUUAUAUCCUUUUAGUGUACUAGCAGCAACUCAGUCUUUUUGACAGAAAAAAAGAAUAAUCAGACUUUCCAGUUUUAACUAUAGAGUAUGCUGACAUAGCAAAAGAGUCUAUUUCUUAAGGCCUGUACAAGCCAUGGUGGAAAAUAUCUGAAUAUUCAGUGCUUCAAACCAAAUCCACUGUGAAAUGUUUGUCUUGGAAACUCCGGGUAUUAGGUGAAUUUCAUUGCAUUUUCCCAACUCACAAAUAAUUUGCCUUCAUUUGAAGAUGAAUUAUUUGUGGAAACAGAUAACUUCUUUUAAAAAGCAACAACAGUGUUCUGUCAAGUCUAUUUUUUUAAAAAAUAUUUUUAUUAAAAAAACAUUCAACCUAAACAACAUAAACCUAACACCACAAUAAAAUACAGUUACAUAAUGCA
Molecule: long non-coding RNA, 1706 nt
Organism: Pogona vitticeps (central bearded dragon)
Lineage: Eukaryota; Metazoa; Chordata; Lepidosauria; Squamata; Agamidae
Source: Ensembl